GAAAUGCGAUAAGUAAUGUGAAUUGCAGAGUUUAGUGAAUCAUCGAAUCUUUGAACGCACAUUGCGCCCCCUGGCAUUCCGGGGGGCAUGCCUGUCCGAGCGUCAUUGCUGCCCUUCAAGCCCGGCUUGUGUGUUGGGUCGUCGUCCCCUCCGGGGGACGGGCCCGAAAGGCAGCGGCGGCACCGCGUCCGGUCCUCGAGCGUAUGUGGCUUUGUCACCCGCUCGAUAAGGACCGGCCGGGCGCCAGCCGGCGUCUCCAACCUUUUUUUCUCAGGUUGACCUCGGAUCAGGUAGGGAUACCCGCUGAACUUAAGC
RNAcentral lists this unclassified non-coding RNA (315 nucleotides) under plant metagenome. Its description in RNAcentral is "partial contains 5.8S ribosomal RNA, internal transcribed spacer 2, and large subunit ribosomal RNA". The stretch from base 1 to 105 matches the Rfam family "5.8S ribosomal RNA", at positions 50 to 154 of the family's 154-position model. The record is from RNAcentral.